Molecule: long non-coding RNA, 725 nt
Filed under: Gallus gallus (chicken)
Lineage: Eukaryota; Metazoa; Chordata; Aves; Galliformes; Phasianidae
Source: RNAcentral
UCGGAUGAGAUGCAAACAGCAAACCAGCUAUCAAGGUCCAGUACCCAUCCCCGAAGAGGAUCCUGGAGAAGUUUGUGAAAAGGCCUGUGACUGCAGCAUGCAACAGGAUGUUUACAAGAUGGUAACCCCAUGGGUCCAUCCCUCCGAUGGCAUGGUUGAUGCGGAAGGAGAGAGUGCAGAGAGGUCUGUAUGACUUGUGGCUCCCACUGUGAGUGAGAAGUGUUCCCCAAAAGUCAUUGUAGAAUAUAUGGGUCCAUGGUGUCUCUGGCAGAAGGUCCUGGUUUGUCUUGAUAGCUCGACUGUCAUCGUAGCAGAAGUCGGCGCCCAGCGUGUUGAGGUAGAGGGCGAGCCCCAGAGCGCUGCUCACCAACUCCGCGCUCAUCUCUCCGCCCGCCGCCGCGCUCGCACCGGGGCAGCUCCCCGGCCCGGCCUCCCGCGCCAGCCCCAAGGCGGCCGCCCUGCCGCCGCCGUCCGCCCCCUGGCUCCACGGGCGCCGCUCCGCGCUCCGCCGGCGGCUGCAGCCUGACGGCGUCCCCCGCUCCUCCGCCGCCCCCUAACCCAUGGCAGCGGGGCGAGCGGCGGCGAGAGCGCGGCUGAGCGGGGCGCAGCGGCGGCGGUGCCGGUGCCGCCCUCCUCCCCCAGCUCCCGGACACUCCUGCUAUCGGUGUCUCUGACGCCGCCACACCGCCCGGUCCCGUCCCGCGCCCCCCUCGCUGCCGAGCGGG